GCAAAUCUCCAAAAUAUCACAUUUCUAAGUUUAUGUCACAAAAAUAGCCCUCAAAAACUAAAAUGACAAAAAUAGCAUUUUCUCUUUUGAAAAUUUUAAAUUUUUUUUUAUUUAAAAAAAUUUGAAAUCUUACCCAAAACCCACUCCCCAACUCUAAACCCUAAACCCUAAAUUCUAAACCCUAAAUCCUAAACCCUAAAUCCUAAACCCCACCCCUUAACUCUAAACCCUAAACCCUAAACCCCACCCAUAAACUCUAAACCCUAAACCCUAAACCCUAAAUUCUAAACCCUAAAUCCUAAACCCUAAACCCUAAAUCCUAAACCCCACUCCUUAACUCUAAACCCUAAACCCUAAACCCCACCCCUUAACUCUAAACCCUAAACCCUAAAUCCUAAACCCCACCCCUUAACUCUAAACCCCACCCCUUAACUCUAAACCCUAAACCCUAAACCCUAAACCCUAAAUCCUAAACCCCACCCCUUAACUCUAAACCCUAAUGUCUAAAUUAAGAGGCUAUAUUUGUGACAAAAACUUUUUUAGUGCUAUCCUAGUCAUUUUCUCUAUUUUAUUUGAAGAUGAAACUGAACUAUAUUAUAUAAAAAGGGCUAUUUGGAAA
This 619-nucleotide long non-coding RNA is filed under the name Brassica napus (rape). Its description in RNAcentral is "long non-coding RNA (BNAP_LNC026767)". Lineage: Eukaryota; Viridiplantae; Streptophyta; Magnoliopsida; Brassicales; Brassicaceae. The record is from RNAcentral.